CUUUAUCCACCAGCCCUUUGGUUCGCAGGCCCCCCAAUCCGUCCUAAUGAAUCCUUAAAUGGAUCCUGGAAAGAAGGAGGAUUUGUGCCUUCCAGUACCAGUAGCAGUGGGUAUUGGAGCUGGAGUGCUCCAAGUGACCAAUCAAACCCAUCCACUCCAUCACCUCCCCUUUCUGCUGACAGCUUCAAACCAUUUCGAUUACCAUCUCAAACUGACGAUGGCAUUGACGAGGCUGAAACUAGCAGUCUUCUUUUUGAUGAACCCAUUCCUAGGAAAAGGAAGAACUCCAUGAAAGUAAUGUUUAAAUGCCUUUGGAAAAACUGUGGAAAGGUACUAAGCACUGCUGUUGGCAUUCAGAAACACAUCCGGACUAUUCAUCUAGGGUGAGAAGACUACAGUUCU
Ahaetulla prasina is the source of this 402-nucleotide long non-coding RNA. RefSeq lists it as uncharacterized. The record is from RefSeq and is a predicted model, not a curated record. Lineage: Eukaryota; Metazoa; Chordata; Lepidosauria; Squamata; Colubridae. The transcript has 3 exons.